ACUGAACGCUUUCUUCCUGCCUAACACAUGCAAGUCGAACGAGACCUUCGGGUCUAGUGGCGCACGGGUGCGUAACGCGUGGGAACCUGCCCUUAGGUUCGGAAUAACUCCCCGAAAGGGGUGCUAAUACCGGAUAAUGUCUUCGGACCAAAGAUUUAUCGCCUUUGGAUGGGCCCGCGUUGGAUUAGCUAGUUGGAAGGGUAAAAGCCUACCAAGGCGACGAUCCAUAGCUGGUCUGAGAGAAUGGUCAGCCACACUGGGACUGAGACACGGCCCAGACUCCUACGGGAGGCAGCAGUGGGGAAUAUUGGACAAUGGGCGAAAGCAUGAUCCAGCAAUGCCGCGUGAGUGAUGAAGGCCUGAGGGUUGUAAAGCUCUUUUACCCGGGAUGAUAAUGACAUUACCGGGAGAAUAAGCUCCGGCUAACUCCGUG
This 433-nucleotide ribosomal RNA is filed under the name uncultured bacterium. RNAcentral describes it as "partial 16S ribosomal RNA". It matches the Rfam family "Bacterial small subunit ribosomal RNA", at positions 30 to 507 of the family's 1533-position model. The record is from RNAcentral.